GAUGAACGCUGGCGGCGUGCCUAAUACAUGCAAGUCGAGCGAACGGACGAGAAGCUUGCUUCUCUGAUGUUAGCGGCGGACGGGUGAGUAAAACGUGGAUAACCUACCUAUAAGACUGGGAUAACUUCGGGAAACCGGAGCUAAUACCGGAUAAUAUUUUGAACCGCAUGGUUCAAAAGUGAAAGACGGUCUUGCUGUUACUUAUAGAUGGAUCCGCGCUGCAUUAGCUAGUUGGUAAGGUAACGGCUUACCAAGGCAACGAUGCAUAGCCGACCUGAGAGGGUGAUCGGCCACACUGGAACUGAGACACGGUCCAGACUCCUACGGAAGGCGGCAGUAGGGAAUCUUCCAGAAUGGGCGAAAGCAUGACGGAGCAACGCCGCGUGAGUGAUGAAGGUCUUCGGAUCGUAAAACUCUGUUAUUAGGGAAGAACAUAUGUGUAAGUGACUGUGCACAUCUUGACGAUAACUAAUCAGAAAGCCACGGCUAACUACGUG
Molecule: ribosomal RNA, 497 nt
Filed under: uncultured bacterium
Lineage: Bacteria
Description: partial 16S ribosomal RNA
Rfam family: Bacterial small subunit ribosomal RNA
Source: RNAcentral